AGGUCAAUCAUGGGACAAUAUGAUAGCAAUAUAUCAAUUAUGCAGUGAUAGAAAAACUGGGAUUAAUGCAUGUGCAUACAUUUUUGUUCAAGACGAGCCCAUGCAGUCCCCACAGGCCUAUCACGGCUGACAGUUUCAAUUUUAUGGAUUUCUAGGUUAACAGGUACACCCCACUAGACUAUGCACUGAUGGGUGAACGUAAUGAGGUGGCUCAGUUUCUCCUUGAGCAGGGAGUUCUUUCCAUCACAGACACAAAACUCAAGAUUCGCAGCUCGUUUGAAAAUAUUUCAAAGGCCGCAUAUUUUGUUUCGACUCGAAAAAGGCUAGGGAUGGAAAUAUGUUGCAGACGUUUGUUGAGUUAUACGCUUAAUGAUAGAAGUGGGCAAUCGAAAUAGAAACCAGGAAGAUUUGGGAAAAGUUUAAUAGACCUGGCUGUACUAGUCAAGUAAACAAGACAAUUAUCGACUUAAGGUUGACAAAAAUUGAGUGAAACCGUGAUAAGUUAGUACAAUUAAUGGUGUAUAUAUUAAGAUAGUGUGUGGUUUUGCGUGGGAUUUCAUACAGUUAAAAUAAUCUGAUUUAACGCUAGUGAAGUGCGUUAUAAAUUUGAACACGUCUUUCUUGGAUAUUGAAAAAUAUAUACAGCAUAUUUAAAAAAAAUAACAAAGAACGUUGGAUUCACUAGUGUUUAAAUUAACUCUGGUUAAAACCCCGAUAGUUGUAAGCGGAAAUCGUGUUGUAUGACAACAAAACGCGGACAAUCAUAAAAGUCGAUGAGCAAUCAUAAGCAAUAAGUCUAAAAAUAACAACAAUAAGAGCAUUAACAUGUCCGAAAACUCGGUAAAAACGAACGAAAGUGGUGAUUCCAUCGUCAGCAACGAUUACAGGUGGGUGGCUGAGUUCUUAGCGGGGCCCGGCGGCUACCUGGAAAAAACGGAAGUGGUCAGUGACUGGUUCCCGAACCGCCAGGCCGCCACGGACGACGCGUGCCAACAACGAGGUGCCGGACUAUCCUUUCUCGCGCGGCCGGUUCUCAAACUGAUAGUCGAGGACAAAAACCGAAGUGUUGAAGAGCUCAGCAACGCUAGGAAUGUAAACUCUCGGCGGUGACAGCGACGCGCAGGGAGGCGAAACAUUCAUGUUUGUUUUCUUAAUAACAUUAAAACAUGUUUUAAUAUCAUAUUAAAGCGGCGAAUUGUUCCCGGGAGUUGACAGAGUCGCGUGGAGUGCGAGGCAUUGUUGCGUUUUUAUUAUGCCAUGAAUGCGGCGUAACAUUUGUACGAAUGCAAAACACACCAUUUACUUUGUGUAAGAAGGCUGGAUUCUGCAUAAAAAGCAGAAUAUGUAUCUCGUGUGCAUAUCUAUCAGUGACUAAAGUGUCUUCCCAGAUUAGCCUGUGAAGUCCGCACAUGCUUACAAGGAACGACCUACACUGGACACUACAUUUUCGAUAAGAAGAGACUUCCAUUAGACAAAAAAAGACAUAAAAGCGGAAAGUGUCGUAUCUGAAUAGCCUGUACACGCCAUUACGUGUAGGAGGAUUAUAUCCGUCAUGAACAUACAUUUUGCCAAAGGAUGUAUUCAUACUCGUGUAUCAAUCAUCCAAUAUAUCGUAUACAUUGAUAACGAAUGUUUCACGACAUGACAGUAAACUUAUUAUUGUGUGUAUUUUGCAUAAUUUAAAUAUCAUAUACUUGACUCUUAGACGGAUUUGAAAUGUUCAUUUGUAUUCAACUUAAUAAACAAUGAUUGCUCUAAUAAUUAAAUACUCUUCCCCGAAGUACAGUAACAUAAUAUUAUGUAAUGGACUUUUUACGUUAUAUUGCGCAUAUUAAAUAUACCAAGAGAUUGUGAGACAUACUAUCAUAAAGUUAAAUAUUUAAAUAAUUUGCACUUCCUUGAAGAAGAGGUAUCGUCGGCUUUAAAAUGACAGGCUGAAAAGUCCGACUGUUUCCAUUAACUAUGAAUAUUGUAUGUACUUGAACUUGUCAGUAAAACUGUUUGAUACCUGGUUUAUUUAGUGACUUAACAAAACAUGGCAAAACAAACAUUGAUUGGGAAGCGAUACAGAUAUCGAUUAAGAGACUUAUGUGCAAAUGGUGUACAUGCACGUCAGGAUUGUGUUCAAUAUCGUUCCCAACCAGAAUCGUACUGCUCUGACUUUAAAGGGACCUUUCACGUUUUGGUAAAUUGACAAAAUUGACAAAAAAUGUUUUAGAUUCGCAUAUUGUUGUUGUCGUUAUGAUAUUUGUGAGGAAACAGUAAUACUGAACAUUUACAAUGCUCUAAAAUAUCCAUUAUAUGCAUCUUUUUACGAUUUAAAAACUUGAAAAUUAUAAAGCGCUGCAACGCGAAACGAUUGAAUAAUUUGGAGAGUUAUUUUGUUGUCGAUAUAUUUUGUGACAAAACGAGAAUUGCUUAGAUAAAGUAUAAACUACAACGAAAAUUUGCGAGACUGAGACUUUUUAUUUCCUAAAUUUACCAAAACGUGAAAAGGCCCCAUUAAUUCGUGUUGAUGUUCUAUUCUACUACACCGUUCAAGGGCGAAACAUCUUUAGAUUAACGAAUGUCGAGGUUUGGCCUAAAACCAUCGUAUCAGGAAUAAAAAUCAUUGAAAAGAUAGCACACGUUCGCACUCAACUCUCGAAUGCGCAUUCCAAGAACGGGAAAUAGCAACUAGAACACAGGUACUUGAAAAAAUAAAGUACCUGUGAACUAGAAUGGCCAACUUAUAAUUUAUUUUUCUGUGUUUUUCUAGACUAAUAUAAAAAGUCCAGAAUCAAAUCGAGUGCAUACACGUUGUCGGACGGUAAAUAUCAACGUAACAAAUCUUUCUAACCGUUUCAAUAAAACCUCCACACAGACUCGGUCGUAAAUCGUCCAAUUCAUUACAAGCAUCAAUGAAAACGUUCUAAUGAAAACACCAUUAAGUGUCGCGUGGACGCGUGGGAAUCAAUCUUCAUCCAUAUUUAAUCUUCCAAUUGGACACUAAUAGUACGAAACAGGAGCACCGUCUGAUUGCCGUAGCUAAGAUCACAAAGGCUGUUGAUUGAACAGUAAAAGGUUCAAACACAUAAUUUUAAGCAGUACAACAACAAAUCACAUUCAGCUUCUUGUUUAUACAAUGGGAGGACCCGGAAUAAGGUUCUUAUUUUCCUAAAUGUGCUCAGCAUUGUUUGCGUGCAUUCUGUAUUGCGUCCUUAAUAUAGUAGCAAAAUCAUUCGAAAUUCUUUGUCAUAAAACAAGCCAGAAUUAGUUCAACUUCCUCUUAAAUACCCGCAUUUAAUCACAACACAUUAUUAUAACGAUUUCAUUUAUUUUAAACAUAUACUAUUUUAGAUAAAGUUCAUUUAAACGCCGUGAUCAUUACAAAUCAUCAUGGCAGUUUUUUUUUAAUUCAGUGUUAUGCUUUAAGGUUGGAGACUACAUGAGACUUUGAAAGUUUGCGGGAAACCCUUAUCAACUGGAGUGAAGCCGGUAAAAAGAUGGCCGUAAAAUAGUGUCCGUUGGUUCGCGUCGAGCUCUUUCUAACAUACUACAUGACCUGUGUUUUAAAACCAUUUGGCUUGGAAUGCAUUUAAAGAAAAGGUAUGGUUAUGAGGGUCUCUACGGGCAAAAGAUUGUAUUUUAUUUGUGUUUAAGUUAUUGCUUAUACAUUGUAUUUGUUAAAGGAAAUCUUUUAGUAUAGUGUGACCUCAACAGUUUUAAUGGCAAUCUUGAUACAUCUUCAUGAUACAUCGGGUUGAUCAGUAAGGUUGAUUUAUGCACCCAAAGUCCUCUCUUCCCAUUGACGUUGAAAGCUCAACAGUCAAAGCUGAUGAUAAUGUUAAGGAAAGAUUGCAGUGUCAAUUUUUUAUUUAUCUAAAUGGAUCAGAUAAAAGUCCAAUCUUAUCUAAUGGAAGAAAGAACUAUUGAUCUUUUAAUUUUACAGUUUCUUCGUAUUUCGUGAUUUCAAAUACCUUGUUAAAGUUAAUGAUGUUGUCAUCGCAUUGUUCAUAAUUCGUUAUUUACAGUCUGAGGCAGGAUUUGACUUUCCAAUCUUGCUGUGUGGAAAUUGAAUAAUAAUUAUCGACACAAUCGUAAUAAAAUGUUCUAAACCGAA
Molecule: long non-coding RNA, 4102 nt
Organism: Dreissena polymorpha
Lineage: Eukaryota; Metazoa; Mollusca; Bivalvia; Myida; Dreissenidae
Exons: 3
Source: RefSeq, a predicted model, not a curated record